Molecule: transfer RNA, 72 nt
Filed under: Metschnikowia bicuspidata
Lineage: Eukaryota; Fungi; Ascomycota; Pichiomycetes; Serinales; Metschnikowiaceae
Rfam family: tRNA
About the family: Transfer RNA (tRNA) molecules are approximately 80 nucleotides in length.
Source: Rfam by way of RNAcentral
GGGUGGUUGGUGUAGUGGUCAGCAUUGCUGCCUUCCAAGCAGCAGAGAUGGGUUCGAUUCCCGUACUACUCA